CAGGCCUCCCUCUGCUUGGUUCCAGUCGUGGGCAUGAGUGAGGGGCGAUGCUUGAUGGCUUUGAUGCCAUCGGUGGGAAUGUGUUUAAGCAUCGGCCUUCCCUCAUGCCCACGAUGGUCUACAGUCUUGUGUACGAGUCAGUGACGACGCUUGUUUGUUUUGAUGCUUGCGUUGGAACUUGCUUAAGCAACCGACCUGACGAAGUACCCAUGAAUGUCUCUCAUGAUGGUCUACAGUCUUGCGUACGAGUUAGUGACGACGCUUGUUUGUUUUGAUGCUUGCGUUGGAACUUGCUUAAGCAACCGACCUGACGAAGUACCCAUGAAUGUCGCCCAUGAUGGUCUACAGUCUUGGGUAUGAGUCAGUGACGAUGCUUGUUUGUUUUGAUGCUUGCGUUGGAACUUGCUUAAGCAACCGACCUGACGAAGUACCCAUGAAUGUCGCCCAUGAUGGUCUACAGUCUUGGUUAUGAUUCAGUGACGAUGCUUGUUUGUUUUGAUGCUUGCGUUGGAACUUGCUUAAGCAACUGAUCUGACGAAGUACCCAUGAAUGUCGCCCAUGAUGGUCUACAGUCUUGGGUAUGAUUUAGUGACGAUGCUUGUUUGUUUUGAUGCUUGCGUUGGAACUUGCCAAUGGCUUUUGCCAGGAUCAUGGCGUUUGCUAUGAUCGAAAAACUGAGGGGGUGAUGUUUAGAGCUGGAAGGCAAGGGGGUGCAAACACCAGUCGGCCUUUGUCCCGAUUGCUGAGUGUUAUGUGCUUGAUGUCCAAGGCUUGAAGCUGACCCUCCAAGUGGGAGCUUUUUUGUUCCUGCGGUAACGACUCUGUUGGGAUCAUUGUGAUCAAGUUUGGUUGGUUUCGUAUUGUGGUGGGUUUUUUCGAAGCUUCUAUCGUUCUUUUACGCAUCGUGCGGUGCAUCUUGGGGGCUGUUUUGGCUUUUGGUUGCUUGCUUGGGCUUUAUGCUAGGCGGGUGGCUAAU
RNAcentral lists this unclassified non-coding RNA (976 nucleotides) under Espeletia garciae. RNAcentral's name for it is "Espeletiopsis garciae partial external transcribed spacer". Lineage: Eukaryota; Viridiplantae; Streptophyta; Magnoliopsida; Asterales; Asteraceae. The record is from RNAcentral.